Molecule: non-coding RNA, 6482 nt
Organism: Gadus morhua (Atlantic cod)
Lineage: Eukaryota; Metazoa; Chordata; Actinopteri; Gadiformes; Gadidae
Source: RefSeq, a predicted model, not a curated record
GAGUAGGAGGGUGGAGAGAGCUGGAGAGCGGAGGCAUAGAAAUCAAUAUUGUUUGUCAUAACUUUAGAAAUUUGGCCUGGACCAGUCUGCGUGACAGAUACACGCGCCUUGUCGUCGCUCCUCCUGUGCGCGAGGGGCGGACGCGUCACGAUGACGUCACUGUGAGUGAGCUGAAGAUUGUAGUGGGGGGAUGGGGAAGAGGAGGGGAGUUUGGUGAAUCGUUUGGGGAUCGAUUUUGUAUAUAGUGCAUACACACCGGAGUCAUUUUAUAGUCUCCGGCGCUCGUGACUAGAACAUAGGAAUCAAAAGAAGAAUCUGUUAACUGCCCUUGCAGCGAGUUAAUAUUUAAGAUUUAAAGGCGUCUGAAUAUGAUCAUAUUAUUUUGGAAGAUGGAUAUUUGAAGCAUCCCAAACACUCCCACCCAGCGUCGUGCCGAAGACCCCACUAACGAUCCAGCGAUGGAAGGAAUACUAUUCCUGAUCAUACUCCAGUCUCUUCUGCUCUGGUUGUGCCCAUACACAACAUUUCAUCGGGAGGCUGUGCCAUCAUCCGGCCCCCCCAGGGAUGGAGGAAUCCGCUACCGAGGCCUGACUCAGGAACAGAUCCGGAGUGUGCAGAUCCUGCCGGUGGACUACGAGAUCGAGUACAUCUGUCGGGGGAACAGGAUGAUCGUGGGACCCAAGGUCCGCAAGUGUUUGCCCAAUGGGACGUGGACAGAGAUCUCACACCACAGCCGAUGCUUGCUGCUGUGCCCGAGGGUGUGGACGUCUCUGGAGAACGGUCGUGUUAUGUCGCAGCCUGCUGGGGUGCCAGUAGAGGGCGCUGUUCUACACUACAGCUGCCACGCAGGCUUCCUGCUGCAGGGGAGGAAUUCGAGCCACUGCACCAAGCUGGGGAAGUGGGACUCUCCCAAACCCACCUGUAUCUAUGACAGGAACUACACAGGUAAGAAGAAGCUGUACAUUGGAGCUCUGUUCCCCAUGAGCGGUGGUUGGCCGGGGGGUCAGGCCUGCCUCCCCUCGGCCCAGAUGGCCCUGGACCUGGUCAACAACCGGACUGACAUCCUGCCGGACUACGAGCUGGAGCUCAUCCACUACGACAGCAUGUGCGACCCUGGGGAGGCCACCAAGCUGCUGUACGACCUGCUCUACACGGAGCCCAUCAAGAUCGUGCUGAUGCCGGGCUGCAGCGGCGUGUCCACCCUGGUGGCGGAGGCCGCGCGCAUGUGGAACCUCAUCGUGCUGUCGUACGGGUCUAGCUCGCCCGCUCUCUCCAACCGCCUGCGGUUCCCCACCUUCUUCCGGACCCACCCCUCCGCCACGCUGCACAACCCCACCCGCGUGCAGCUCUUCCAGAAGUGGAAGUGGACGCGCAUCGCCACCAUCCAGCAGACCACUGAAGUCUUCACCUCCACCCUGGAUGACCUGGAGGAGAGGACAAAGGAGGCUGGUAUUGAGAUUAGCGUCCGCCAGAGUUUCCUCACUGACCCUGCCGUCGCUGUGAAGAACCUCAAGAGACAGGACGCCAGAAUCAUUGUGGGUCUUUUCUAUGAGACAGAAGCCAGGAAGGUGUUCUGUGAGGUGUUCAAGGAGAAGUUGUAUGGGAAGAAGGUCGUCUGGUUUCUGAUUGGCUGGUACGCUGAUAACUGGUUCAAGAUCAAAGACCCGGCCAUCAACUGCACCGUGGAGAACAUGACAGAGGCUGUGGAGGGUCACGUUACCACGGAGAUAGUGAUGCUCAACCCAGAGACCAUUAAAGGAGCGUCUAAUCUGACCUCCCAGGAGUUCAUCGCGGCUCUGAUGUCCCGUCUCGGGGGGAUGAACCCGGAGGACACGGGGGGCUUCCAGGAAGCCCCGCUGGCCUACGACGCGGUGUGGGCCCAUGGCCCUGGCCCUCAACAAGACCGUGGCCCCCCUGAGGCGAAAGGGGCCGGCGCCUGGAGGACUUCAACUACAACAACCACGACAUCACCUCCGAGAUCUACCGGGCCCUCAACAGCAGCUCCUUCGAAGGGGUGUCGGGUCAUGUGGUCUUUGACGCUCAGGGUUCAAGGAUGGCCAUGACGCUUAUUGAACAGCUCCAAGGUGGCAGCUAUAAAGCAGAUGGUUGGUUACUAUGACAGCUCACAGAGGAACCUUUCCUGGUUUGGGAACGACGUGUGGAUUGGGGCGGGACCACCAGCCGACAGGACUUGGUGAUCGAGGAGUUCGCUUCCUGUCCCAGAAGCUGUUCUCGGUGGUUGCUGUGUUUGCUGGACUGGGCAUCCUGCUGGGGUUCCUCUGCCUCUCCUUCAACAUCUACAACGGAGCCGUGCGAUACAUCCAGAACUCCCAGCCCUACCUCAACAACAUGACGGCCGUGGGCUGCAUGAUGGCGCUGGCGGCCGUCUUCCCGCUGGGCAUCGACGGACAUCACAUCCACCGCUCGCAGUUCCCCGUCGUAUGCCAGUUCAGACUGUGGCUGCUGGGUCUAGGCUUCAGUCUGGCCUACGGCAGCAUGUUCACCAAGAUCUGGUGGGUCCACACACUCUUCACCAAGAAGGAGGAGAAGAAGGAGAAGAAGAAGCUCCUCGAGCCCUGGAAGCUGUAUGCCACGGUGGGGGUUCUGCUGGCUGUGGACUUCAUUUCUUUGCUGGUCUGGCAAAUUGUAGACCCGCUGCACAUCACUGUGGAGAAGUUCACCAGAGAAGCUCCUAAAGGCGAUCUCGAUGUUCUGAUCCAACCGCUGCUUGAGCAUUGCAGCUCUGAGAAGAUGAACACCUGGCUCGGUGUAGUGUACGGCUAUAAGGGACUGUUGCUGUUGCUCGGGAUAUUUUUGGCAUAUGAGACAAAAUCGGUGUCGACAGAGAAGAUCAACGACCACCGCGCCGUCGGCAUGGCGAUAUACAACGUGGCGGUGUUGUGUAUGAUCACGGCCCCGAUUACCAUGAUUCUGUCAUCACAACAAGACGCUUCUUUUGCGUUUGCAUCCAUGGCGACGGUUUUCUCCUCUUACAUCACCUUGGUGGUUCUCUUCGUUCCCAAGAUGCGUCGUCUGAUCACGCGGGGCGAGUGGCAGUCCGAGCAGCAGGACACGCUGAAGACAGGCUCGUCCACCAACAACAACGACGAGGAGAAGUCCCGGCAGCUGGAGAGAGAGAACCGGGAGCUGCAGAAGAUCAUCCAGGAGAAGGAGGAGAGAGUCACGGCCCUGAGGAACCAGCUGGCCGAGCGCCAGGCCCUUCGCCGCCGGCCGUCCGCCGGCCAGAACCAGAACCAGAACCACAGCGCGCCCCCGCCCUCCUCCAAUGCCGAGCCCAAGUCCAUGCUCCCCCCGCCGGGGUACCCCGCCUCCCCCACCCCCCCCACCUCCCUGUACCCCACCGCCGACGGCAAGAUGAGCCGCAACCACUGCCACAGCAGCCAGAUCCCCCUGCUGUACAAGUAGCUCGCACUGGGGACGGACUGGGAACACAUACUGGGGACAAACUGGGGACAUACUGGGGAGAUACAGCCACCUACUGGGACAGACUGGGAACAAACUGGGGACAUACUGGGGAAAUACAGCCACCUACUGGGACAGACUGGGAACACAUGUUGGGAACAAAUUGGGGACACACGGCCACCUACUGGGACAGACUGGGAACACAUACUGGGAACAAACUGGGGACAAACGGCCGCCUGCUGGGACAGACUGGGAACACAUACUGGGACAAACUGGGGACACACGGCCACCUGCUGGGACAGACUGGGAACACAUACUGGGGACAAACUGGGGACAUACUGGGGGAAUACAGCGACCUACUGGGCUGGACUGGUAACACAUACUGGUUACUCACUGGGGACCCACUGGGGACAUACGGCGCCAUACUGGGACAGACUGGGAUCACUUGCUGGUUACGCACUGAGGACAUACUGGGGACAUACGGCGCCAUACUGGGACAGACUGGGAUCACAUACUGGGAACAAACAGGGGACAUACUGGGGAAAUACAGCGACCUACUGGGACAGACUGGGAUCACAUACUGGGAACAAACAGGGGACAUACUGGGGAAAUACAGCGACCUACUGGGACAGACUGGGAACACAUACUGGCUACAAACUGGGGACAUACUGGGAUAUGCUUGGACAAACUGUUAACACAUAACGGUCAUAAACACAAACUGAGAAUACAGGGCACGCAUGGACGUAUUCUGACGUACUGGGACACAGGGAAGACACAGACGUACCGGGACAUACUGGUAACCCAUACUGGUAACACGCACGGGAAAUACUUGAGAAUACUGGGACAUACUUCGAACACUGGGAGACACUGGGAAUAUAUUGGGAGGUACUGGGAAAUACUAGAUUUACAGAGACAUACUGGGAACAGUGGGGCAUACUGGGGACCACAGGUGCAUACUGGGGAUACGGGGACAUACUGGGAAUAGAGAAAGAUAUUGGGACAUACAGGGAAUACUCUGAUAUACUUGGACGUACUGGGACAUACUAUGAAUAUUGGGAUACACUGGGAAUUCAGGGACUAACUGGGACAUACUGGGGUGUACUGGGAUGAUGUACUGGGACACACCUGCUUGGGCAGGUAGCACAAGGUUUUUUCUGAGCUUGUUUUGGUGUUUUAUACCUGGAGACACCUCACCGGUCACUCGCUACACAGACACUGCCCAGAGAAACACCACGACUAGGCCAGGGCACACCGGAGAUGUGUGUGAUUGCUAUCUUUGACAUUUGUCUGAAACUUUGUUGAUUGUAGAGUUUUAUUGUUCUGUAGUAUGGAUAUCUGUUAGUCACAAAAUGCUGUUUACUUUUGGAAAGUAAUAGAUUUUACCUACGGACAAAUCAAUGUAUCGUUUUCCAAUGUUUCGUUCCACUCCUUCUCCUGAGAGUGGAGUCUGAUCUGUAUGAGAAGACGGCAGAAGAUCUGGUCUGGUUAUCAAUGGGUUAAUAUCGGGUUAAGAUCUGGUUAACCUCUGGUUUAAACCUCUCUUUGGCGCAGCUUUUGGAUUCAAAGCCUGGGAUCAGAUAAUAUUGUAAUAAUAUUGAUGUCUCAAUACCGUUCGGAUUGUGUUGGCAUUUGAAAGGUUUUUUUAUAAAGACGUUUUAUAAAGAACUGAACAGUAGUAAGCCAUGGUCCAAGUUGGAGCACAUGUCAGAGUUCAGGCUGGACCAUGUUCAGCCCAGCUCAACCCUGGUCAGCGCAGCUCACACCUUUCAACCUUCUGAUUAAGCACAACCAGCCUUGGUCUAAAGGCCUCAGUAUACUUCAAACUGAGUUGAACUUGUUCGCACAGGCUGUCGAACUGAUGUCCAACACUGGGAUCUGGACAGGGUACAAUAUAGUCACCGCAACGCGUGGGUUGUUUGUCUGAUGACACGAGUCACGGUGAGACCAGAUGCAAUCGUCACAUCGUACUGUUGACCAGAUGCAGGCAGCGGUGUAUUUGGGGGCCUGGGAGGAAUGUGUGUUCAGUGCGGCUUAGCAGCCAAUGGGAUCGCAGCUAAAUGAAGCGCUUCGAUUUUGCAAACCUGCCAUUUAGUCCAUGCGAACCUGCUCAUUUCUUUUUAAGUAUAUCCGGGCCUUAAACGCGAGUCUGUUCCUCUUCAUCUUUUUAUAGACCCCUAAACUAUGGUUUGGUCCCACAACUGACAAUCUCUGUACAUGUGUGUCAACUCUGACAGGGAAAACUUUGUCUCUUGUCAACACCUAAAUGUAAUGAAUAAAUACAUAUAUACAAUAAUAUAAAUAUAUACAUGUAUACUGUGCAAUACAGCAAUUAUAUGAGGAUCUCUCUUUCCCUCUCUUUCUCUCUCUCUCUCUCUCUCUCUCUCUCUCUCUCUCUCUCUCUCUCUCUCUCUCUCUCUCUCUCUCUCUCUCUCUGUUUUUUCUGGGGUUUCCCUGAAAUAUAAAGCAAUGAUACCUGACGGCGAUAUUGACAGAAAAGGUCAAACUUUAUUAGACUUUGUUAAACUAUAUUUCAUAAAGCACUUUACUACAGAAUCACAUAAUCUGAUAGUUUGGACCACAUGGAGCUCAGGGUUGGAGAUAGAAGCCACACCAUCUCUGUUCCAUAGCUCAUUUGAACCCUAAUCCCUUAAACCCAUACCCCAUCUCACCCUAACCCCAUAACCCCUUCACCUAACUCCUUACCCCAUUUCACCCUUAACCUCCAACCCCUAACCCUCAACCCUAAUCCAUAUCUCACCUUAACCAUAACCGUAACCCCCUUACCCAUAUCUAAACUUAACCAUAACCCAUACCCCCUAGGCCAUAGAUCAAAUUAAACACAACCCUAUCUCCUCUUAACAUCCAACCCCCCAACCCAUACUUAACCCUACCCUUGACCAACAUGUAUGACCUGUUAGUUAAUAUUGCACAUGCAUAAAGGUAUAGCUGGAUCUCAACAUAUUUGUAUUCACUGUAUCUUCAAACUUUAAAUGUUAUAAUACUUCAAAUUAUAUGUAUGCAAAUAUAUGGUUCAAUAAAGCUGUUGAUUUUUCACUGGA